This 253-nucleotide ribosomal RNA is filed under the name uncultured bacterium. RNAcentral's name for it is "partial 16S ribosomal RNA". It matches the Rfam family "Bacterial small subunit ribosomal RNA", at positions 524 to 776 of the family's 1533-position model. The record is from RNAcentral.
UACGUAGGUGACAAGCGUUGUCCGGAUUUACUGGGCGUAAAGAGCGCGCAGGCGGUCGAUCAAGUCGAGUGUGAAAGCCCCCGGCUCAACUGGGGAGGGUCAUUCGAUACUGAUCGACUCGAAGGCAGGAGAGGGUAGUGGAAUUCCCGGUGUAGCGGUGAAAUGCGCAGAUAUCAGGAGGAACACCAAUUGCGAAGGCAGCUCGCUGGGACGUUACUGACGCUGAGACGCGAAAGCGUGGGGAGCAAACAGG